RNAcentral lists this ribosomal RNA (379 nucleotides) under uncultured Methanospirillum sp. RNAcentral's name for it is "bacterial SSU rRNA". It matches the Rfam family "Archaeal small subunit ribosomal RNA", at positions 339 to 722 of the family's 1478-position model. The record is from RNAcentral. Lineage: Archaea; Methanobacteriati; Methanobacteriota; Methanomicrobia; Methanomicrobiales; Methanospirillaceae.
GCGCGAAAACUUUACCAUGCGGGCAACCGUGAUAAGGAAACCCCGAGUGCCAGCACAGGCUGGCUGUCCGCCAGUGUAAAUAACUGGUGAAGAAAGGGCCGGGCAAGACCGGUGCCAGCCGCCGCGGUAAUAACGGCGGCUCGAGUGGUGGCCACUAUUACUGGGCUUAAAGGGUCCGUAGCUUGAUGUACAAGUCGCUUGAGAAAUCCGCCGGCUUAACCGGUGAGCGUUCGGGGGAAACUGUAUUUCUAGGGACCGGGAGAGGUGAGAGGUACUGCCGGGGUAGGAGUGAAAUCCUGUAAUCCCGGUGGUACCACCUAUGGCGAAGGCAUCUCACCAGAACGGGUCCGACAGUGAGGGACGAAAGCUGGGGGAGCAA